Molecule: ribosomal RNA, 1463 nt
Filed under: Streptococcus thermophilus
Lineage: Bacteria; Bacillati; Bacillota; Bacilli; Lactobacillales; Streptococcaceae
Description: bacterial SSU rRNA
Rfam family: Bacterial small subunit ribosomal RNA
Source: RNAcentral
GCUCAGGACGAACGCUGGCGGCGUGCCUAAUACAUGCAAGUAGAACGCUGAAGAGAGGAGCUUGCUCUUCUUGGAUGAGUUGCGAACGGGUGAGUAACGCGUAGGUAACCUGCCUUGUAGCGGGGGAUAACUAUUGGAAACGAUAGCUAAUACCGCAUAACAAUGGAUGACACAUGUCAUUUAUUUGAAAGGGGCAAUUGCUCCACUACAAGAUGGACCUGCGUUGUAUUAGCUAGUAGGUGAGGUAAUGGCUCACCUAGGCGACGAUACAUAGCCGACCUGAGAGGGUGAUCGGCCACACUGGGACUGAGACACGGCCCAGACUCCUACGGGAGGCAGCAGUAGGGAAUCUUCGGCAAUGGGGGCAACCCUGACCGAGCAACGCCGCGUGAGUGAAGAAGGUUUUCGGAUCGUAAAGCUCUGUUGUAAGUCAAGAACGGGUGUGAGAGUGGAAAGUUCACACUGUGACGGUAGCUUACCAGAAAGGGACGGCUAACUACGUGCCAGCAGCCGCGGUAAUACGUAGGUCCCGAGCGUUGUCCGGAUUUAUUGGGCGUAAAGCGAGCGCAGGCGGUUUGAUAAGUCUGAAGUUAAAGGCUGUGGCUCAACCAUAGUUCGCUUUGGAAACUGUCAAACUUGAGUGCAGAAGGGGAGAGUGGAAUUCCAUGUGUAGCGGUGAAAUGCGUAGAUAUAUGGAGGAACACCGGUGGCGAAAGCGGCUCUCUGGUCUGUAACUGACGCUGAGGCUCGAAAGCGUGGGGAGCGAACAGGAUUAGAUACCCUGGUAGUCCACGCCGUAAACGAUGAGUGCUAGGUGUUGGAUCCUUUCCGGGAUUCAGUGCCGCAGCUAACGCAUUAAGCACUCCGCCUGGGGAGUACGACCGCAAGGUUGAAACUCAAAGGAAUUGACGGGGGCCCGCACAAGCGGUGGAGCAUGUGGUUUAAUUCGAAGCAACGCGAAGAACCUUACCAGGUCUUGACAUCCCGAUGCUAUUUCUAGAGAUAGAAAGUUACUUCGGUACAUCGGUGACAGGUGGUGCAUGGUUGUCGUCAGCUCGUGUCGUGAGAUGUUGGGUUAAGUCCCGCAACGAGCGCAACCCCUAUUGUUAGUUGCCAUCAUUCAGUUGGGCACUCUAGCGAGACUGCCGGUAAUAAACCGGAGGAAGGUGGGGAUGACGUCAAAUCAUCAUGCCCCUUAUGACCUGGGCUACACACGUGCUACAAUGGUUGGUACAACGAGUUGCGAGUCGGUGACGGCGAGCUAAUCUCUUAAAGCCAAUCUCAGUUCGGAUUGUAGGCUGCAACUCGCCUACAUGAAGUCGGAAUCGCUAGUAAUCGCGGAUCAGCACGCCGCGGUGAAUACGUUCCCGGGCCUUGUACACACCGCCCGUCACACCACGAGAGUUUGUAACACCCGAAGUCGGUGAGGUAACCUUUUGGAGCCAGCCGCCUAAGGUGGGACA